This is a long non-coding RNA of Nicotiana attenuata, 653 nucleotides long. RefSeq lists it as uncharacterized. The record is from RefSeq and is a predicted model, not a curated record. The transcript is spliced from 2 exons. NCBI's taxonomy places the organism in Eukaryota, Viridiplantae, Streptophyta, Magnoliopsida, Solanales, Solanaceae.
UCUUUUUCUCUCUUAUCACCCUCUCCCCCCUCUCUGCCACGCCGCCUCGCCGCCGCCCGUCGCCGCCGGCCGGAAAUCGCCGCUGCCGGCGGCAACCCUCCAAUCCACCCCAAAAUUUCACCAUAUCUUCCCCUCUUCCUCCUCUUUCUACCUAUACCACUCAUAUCCUCCAAAUCUCUACCAAUCUCCGCAGAUCUAAGCCUAACCGAAACCCUAGCCGCCGCCCACCACCCCAAACUCCAAAAAUUUUACACCACCGGCCUCCUCUUCUCCCCCUCUUUCCAUAUCUCCGACUCAAACAUCAAAAAAAAACCCACGCCGCCCUAGCGCCGCCGCCACUGCCGCCCACUGCCGCCCAGUGUCGUUGAUAUUACUGAAACCGGACUCGGAUUCACCGAAAUUUUUUGGUUUCAAGAAUAUCAACAAUAGAAGCUUGCUCGAAAGUCGUACCACUGCCUAUCGUCGUCUCCUGGAUGCUCGAGUAUAUGAUAUUUUCACAUUAACAAGAAGAUUUGAACUCAUCUUGAUUGUUGGAGCAUAUCCAUUUAAAUGAACGAGGGCUUAGCUAAAUUUCUUUAUUGUUUAAAUAUAUCUUGUUGUAGUUCAUAUGUAAAAAUAUAAAUCCUUGGUUGAUCAAACACCCUUUAUUCAUG